CAACCUGCCGUCUACUCUNNGACAGCCUUCUGAAAGGAAGAUUAAUACAAGAUGGCAUCAUGAGUCCGCAUGUUCACAUGAUUAAAGGUAUUCCGGUAGACGAUGGGGAUGCGUUCCAUUAGAUAGUAGGCGGGGUAACGGCCCACCUAGUCUUCGAUGGAUAGGGGUUCUGAGAGGAAGGUCCCCCACAUUGGAACUGAGACACGGUCCAAACUCCUACGGGAGGCAGCAGUGAGGAAUAUUGGUCAAUGGGCGAGAGCCUGAACCAGCCAAGUAGCGUGAAGGAUGACUGCCCUAUGGGUUGUAAACUUCUUUUAUAAAGGAAUAAAGUCGGGUAUGGACACCCGUUUGCAUGUACUUUAUGAAUAAGGAUCGGCUAACUCCGUGCCAGCAGCCGCGGUAAUACGGAGGAUCCGAGCGUUAUCCGGAUUUAUUGGGUUUAAAGGGAGCGUAGAUGGAUGUUUAAGUCAGUUGUGAAAGUUUGCGGCUCAACCGUAAAAUUGCAGUUGAUACUGGAUAUCUUGAGUGCAGUUGAGGCAGGCGGAAUUCGUGGUGUAGCGGUGAAAUGCUUAGAUAUCACGAAGAACUCCGAUUG
RNAcentral lists this ribosomal RNA (595 nucleotides) under uncultured Bacteroidota bacterium. Its description in RNAcentral is "bacterial SSU rRNA". It matches the Rfam family "Bacterial small subunit ribosomal RNA", at positions 122 to 715 of the family's 1533-position model. Lineage: Bacteria; Pseudomonadati; Bacteroidota. The record is from RNAcentral.